RNAcentral lists this ribosomal RNA (497 nucleotides) under uncultured bacterium. RNAcentral describes it as "partial 16S ribosomal RNA". It matches the Rfam family "Bacterial small subunit ribosomal RNA", at positions 28 to 507 of the family's 1533-position model. The record is from RNAcentral.
GAUGAACGCUGGCGGCGUGCCUAAUACAUGCAAGUCGAGCGAAGAGAUGAGGUGCUUGUACCUCCGACGUUAGCGGCGGACGGGUGAGUAACGCGUGGGUAAUCUACCUAUGAGAGUGGGACAACUUCGGGAAACGAGUGCUAAUACCGGAUAAAAUCUUGAAACACAAGGUUCAAGAGUGAAAGAUGGAUUUGCAUCACUCAAUGAUGGUAUCCCGUUCUCUUUAGCUGGUGGGUAGGGUAAGGGCCUACCAAGGGAAGAUAGAGUGCCCGCCUGGGAGGGGUGAUCGCCCACACUGGAACUGGGACACGCCCCAGCCUCCUAGGGAGGGCGGCGGAAGGGAAUUUUGGGCAAUGAGCGAAGUCUUAACGGAGAAACGCCGGGUGGGUAAGGAGGGUCUUCGGAUCGUAAACCUCUGUUAUUGGGAAGAAACAAAUUUGGAAUGAACAACGCACCUAUUGACGGUAACUACUCAGAAAGCCACGGCUAACUACGUG